AUGCGAAGCUCUAGGACGGCGCACUCCGGGUCCCCGCCGACCGGCUCAAGCGGGGCGAGUGGCCGCAGUGGCCGUCGAGGCCGCCUCCGUCUGCGCGCACAUCGACUGCUCAACCCGGCGGCCAUCAUCGAGUUUGGCGCGCUCCGGGUCCGCGCCGACCGACUCAACGGGGCGACGUGGGCGGAGAGCGAGCGCCGCCUGCUUGCCCGCGCCGCCGCGGCGAGCGCGGACGUCGAGGCCGCCUCCGUCUGCGCGCACCUAGCCGCCGUCCAUGGCCACCGAUGUGGCUGCUCUAGUCGCUCGAUUGUGGAGGCUCACUACUCGAUGACGGGCGUGGCGGUCCUCCGCAUCAUGUUUUUGCUGCAAGGCUGCAGGGAGUCCAUUCUCGUCGUUGUUCGCCAGGUGACGCCGCAGCCGCAGGUCGAGCUUGACCACCACGGUGGCGAACUGCAAAAGGCAUUUGGAUCCUUCCACUGCAGGUGGCAACAUCCUCAACUCCCCGAAAUCACUGCUGCUAUGACUAACCAAAUCAUACCCAUUUGCCUGCACCUUUUGUCUCUGUUCCUAGCAAAGCCUCCCACUAAACUUGGUCAAAAAUUUAUGAUAAGCAAGAAUAAAAGGCAUCAAGACAGACCGGCUGCUCUGGAGGUGUGGGAUCGGCUGGAUGAAUUUGUGCGGGCCGUUCUGUCAAAAGCCAUCUACGCGUGUGUUUUUCCACUCCAUAUCACCGAAAAGCAACGGUAUCUUUCUGGUGCCACCACCAACAGCAAGACGAAAGAGGGGUCGGAGAGCCCCUGGCCUCCCCUUGGGCGCGCGCCUGCGCGUCGCUGCCGGACCAGCUCACCCUCCCGCGCCUCGCCAGCGCAGCAAGGGGAUAAGGCCGACUCCGCCUCUCCCUCUCCCUGCCAGAUUCUCCCUCGCUCACUCCGCUCCUCCUCCUCCCCAGAUCCGUCGAGGCCGAGCGGAAUCGACACCGUCCUCCGUCGCCACCGCGGCCACUGGCACCGCUCCGACCGCUCGUGGAGCCGGGGACCUCCACAGCUGCUGAACGCCGUCGCCCCCUUCCCAGGCCCGGCCCUGAGGGGGGGCAGGGGGCGGCCGCCCCGGGCCCCCGAGAUGGAGGGGCCCCCACGUAUGCGUGCUCUGUGUUGUAUAUGGCCCAUGAAGAAAAAUGAUUCUGGGCUAAUUUUAGAUACAACGGCGUGUGCAGCAGCGUACGGGGAGCACGGGGCCAGCUCGACCAAGCUACAGAUCACGCAGGACUCUCAAGGCAAGCUCGAGGGCGACCCCGCCGCCGCAGCCUCCUCCCGCGGAGGCCUUCCUGAUGCAUCCUCCUCCAACGGCGGCUUGGGUAAUUUCAUCUUCGUCACCGUGGACAGGAGUAACAACACCACGGCCCACCGGUCCCAACAGGCAGUUUUGAGCAACAGAUCAGAUUGA
Molecule: ribosomal RNA, 1440 nt
Filed under: Triticum aestivum (bread wheat)
Lineage: Eukaryota; Viridiplantae; Streptophyta; Magnoliopsida; Poales; Poaceae
Description: partial small subunit ribosomal RNA
Source: RNAcentral